UUUCCGUAGGUGAACCUGCGGAAGGAUCAUUAAUGAAAGUCAAGGAGCGCCCUUUUUAGAGGCUCCGACCCUUUCUAUUCCACAUACCCGCGCACUCGGGGGCGUCGACGCCGGCCAACGAGGCCGUGCACAGGCGCUUUCCGCCCCUUUACACGCUCCAUUCGUAUUGAGGAUGUCGUAAAUUAAUAAAACAAAACAAAACUUUCAACAACGGAUCUCUUGGCUCUC
Molecule: unclassified non-coding RNA, 228 nt
Filed under: plant metagenome
Description: partial contains small subunit ribosomal RNA, internal transcribed spacer 1, and 5.8S ribosomal RNA
Source: RNAcentral